GACGAACGCUGGCGGCGUGCUUAACACAUGCAAGUCGAACGGAAAGGCCCUGCUUUUGUGGGGUGCUCGAGUGGCGAACGGGUGAGUAACACGUGAGUAACCUGCCCUUGACUUUGGGAUAACUUCAGGAAACUGGGGCUAAUACCGGAUAGGAGCUCCUGCUGCAUGGUGGGGUUGGAAAGUUUCGGCGGUUGGGGAUGGACUCGCGGCUUAUCAGCUUGUUGGUGGGGUAGUGGCUUACCAAGGCUUUGACGGGUAGCCGGCCUGAGAGGGUGACCGGCCACAUUGGGACUGAGAUACGGCCCAGACUCCUACGGGAGGCAGAAGUGGGGAAUAUUGCACAAUGGGCGGAAGCCUGAUGCAGCAACGCCGCGUGCGGGAUGACGGCCUUCGGGUUGUAAACCGCUUUCGCCUGUGACGAAGCGUGAGUGACGGUAAUGGGUAAAGAAGCACCGGCUAACUACGUG
RNAcentral lists this ribosomal RNA (467 nucleotides) under uncultured bacterium. RNAcentral describes it as "partial 16S ribosomal RNA". It matches the Rfam family "Bacterial small subunit ribosomal RNA", at positions 28 to 507 of the family's 1533-position model. The record is from RNAcentral.